CUAGCGACUUCAGAGUUUGAUCCUGGCUCAGGACGAACGCUGGCGGCGUGCCUAACACAUGCAAGUCGAACGGAAGUAAGAGCUUCGGUUUUUACUUUAGUGGCGAACGGGUGAGUAACGCGUGAGAAACCUGCCUCUCAGUGGGGGACAACAGUUGGAAACGACUGCUAAUACCGCAUAACACUUUAGUACCACAUGGUACAGAAGUCAAAGCUUUAUGUGCUGAGAGAUGGUCUCGCGUCUGAUUAGCUAGAUGGCGGGGUAACGGCCCACCAUGGCGACGAUCAGUAGCCGGUCUGAGAGGAUGAACGGCCACAUUGGGACUGAGAUACGGCCCAG
RNAcentral lists this ribosomal RNA (339 nucleotides) under uncultured bacterium. Its description in RNAcentral is "bacterial SSU rRNA". It matches the Rfam family "Bacterial small subunit ribosomal RNA", at positions 1 to 334 of the family's 1533-position model. The record is from RNAcentral.